RNAcentral lists this long non-coding RNA (364 nucleotides) under Hordeum vulgare. RNAcentral describes it as "long non-coding RNA (HVUL_LNC013350)". Lineage: Eukaryota; Viridiplantae; Streptophyta; Magnoliopsida; Poales; Poaceae. The record is from RNAcentral.
ACUGGGCGCGCACCAUGGAAAACGGGUGAAAACCUUGUGCGUGGCAUGGAAGGAUGCACGUACGGGCACACGUGCCAAAAAACGUGAACGUGAGGAAACGGGAAAAACGGGUACGGGGCCGUGUUGCAAUAAACUGGGCGCGCACCAUGGAAAACUGGGGCAAACCAUGUGCGUGGCAUGGACGGAUGCACGUACGGGCACACGGGCCAAAAAACGUGAACGUGAGGAAACGGGAAAAACGGGUAGGGCGGCCGUGUUGCAAAAAGCUGGGCGCGCACCAUGGAAAACAGGGGAAAACCAUGUGCGUGGAGUGGGCGGAUGCACGUACGGGCACACGGGCCAAAAAACGUGAACGUGAGGAANN